ACGCUGGCGGCGUGCCUAAUACAUGCAAGUCGAACGCACAGCGAAAGGUGCUUGCACCUUUCAAGUGAGUGGCGAACGGGUGAGUAACACGUGGACAACCUGCCUCAAGGCUGGGGAUAACAUUUGGAAACAGAUGCUAAUACCGAAUAAAACUUAGUGUCGCAUGACACAAAGUUAAAAGGCGCUUCGGCGUCACCUAGAGAUGGAUCCGCGGUGCAUUAGUUAGUUGGUGGGGUAAAGGCCUACCAAGACAAUGAUGCAUAGCCGAGUUGAGAGACUGAUCGGCCACAUUGGGACUGAGACACGGCCCAAACUCCUACGGGAGGCUGCAGUAGGGAAUCUUCCACAAUGGGCGAAAGCCUGAUGGAGCAACGCCGCGUGUGUGAUGAAGGCUUUCGGGUCGUAAAGCACUGUUGUAUGGGAAGAACAGCUAGAAUAGGAAAUGAUUUUAGUUUGACGGUACCAUACCAGAAAGGGACGGCUAAAUACGUGCCAGCAGCCGCGGUAAUACGUAUGUCCCGAGCGUUAUCCGGAUUUAUUGGGCGUAAAGCGAGCGCAGACGGUUUAUUAAGUCUGAUGUGAAAGCCCGGAGCUCAACUCCGGAAUGGCAUUGGAAACUGGUUAACUUGAGUGCAGUAGAGGUAAGUGGAACUCCAUGUGUAGCGGUGGAAUGCGUAGAUACAUGGAAGAACACCAGUGGCGAAGGCGGCUUACUGGACUGCAACUGACGUUGAGGCUCGAAAGUGUGGGUAGCAAAC
RNAcentral lists this ribosomal RNA (758 nucleotides) under uncultured bacterium. RNAcentral's name for it is "bacterial SSU rRNA". It matches the Rfam family "Bacterial small subunit ribosomal RNA", at positions 33 to 773 of the family's 1533-position model. The record is from RNAcentral.